Molecule: ribosomal RNA, 301 nt
Filed under: uncultured bacterium
Lineage: Bacteria
Description: partial 16S ribosomal RNA
Rfam family: Bacterial small subunit ribosomal RNA
Source: RNAcentral
CAGUAGCCGCGGUAAUACGUAGGGUGCAAGCGUUAAUCGGAAUUACUGGGCGUAAAGCGUGCGCAGGCGGUUCGCUAAGACAGGUGUGAAAUCCCCGGGCUUAACCUGGGAACUGCAUUUGUGACUGGCGGGCUAGAGUAUGGCAGAGGGGGGUAGAAUUCCACGUGUAGCAGUGAAAUGCGUAGAGAUGUGGAGGAAUACCGAUGGCGAAGGCAGCCCCCUGGGCCAAUACUGACGCUCAUGCACGAAAGCGUGGGGAGCAAACAGGAUUAGAUACCCGUGUAGUCCCUGUCUCUUAUAA